Molecule: ribosomal RNA, 282 nt
Filed under: uncultured bacterium
Lineage: Bacteria
Description: partial 16S ribosomal RNA
Rfam family: Bacterial small subunit ribosomal RNA
Source: RNAcentral
GUGGAUUAGAUACCCUGGUAGUCCACGCCGUAAACGAUGGAUACUAGCUGUUUGGUAGCAAUACUGAGUGGCUAAGCGAAAGUGAUAAGUAUCCCACCUGGGGAGUACGAACGCAAGUUUGAAACUCAAAGGAAUUGACGGGGGCCCGCACAAGCGGUGGAGCAUGUGGUUUAAUUCGAUGAUACGCGAGGAACCUUACCAGGGCUUAAAUGUAGUGGGACAGGCUUGGAAACAGGCCCUUCUUCGGACUCAUUACAAGGUGCUGCACGGCUGUCGCCAGCU